Molecule: ribosomal RNA, 254 nt
Filed under: uncultured bacterium
Lineage: Bacteria
Description: partial 16S ribosomal RNA
Rfam family: Bacterial small subunit ribosomal RNA
Source: RNAcentral
UACGAAGGGGGCUAGCGUUGCUCGGAUUGACUGGGCGUAAAGGGCGCGUAGGCGGUUUGCACAGUUGGGCGUGAAAUUCCUGGGCUUAACCUGGGGGCUGCGUUCAAUACGUGUAGGCUUGAGUUCGGAAGAGGGUCGUGGAAUUCCCAGUGUAGAGGUGAAAUUCGUAGAUAUUGGGAAGAACACCGGUGGCGAAGACGGGUUGCUGGGCCGACACUGACGCUGAGUGCGCGAAAGCCAGGGGAGCAAACGGG